UUCAACGGCCGCGGUAUUCUAACCGUGCAAAGGUAGCGUAAUCACUUGUCUCCUAAAUAGAGACCAGUAUGAAUGGCUAAAUGAGGACAAGCCUGUCUCUUACAUCCUAUCAAUGAAACUGAUCUUCAAGUCAAAAAGCUAGAAUAUUAACAUAAGACGAGAAGACCCUGUGGAGCUUAAAAUAUACUACUAAACAAACUAAUAUUUCAGCACAACUAGUACGAAUUUUGAGUUGGGGCGACUUCGGAACAAAACAAAACUUCCAAGCACAGAACCACCACUUCUAACCAAGGCCAACAAGCCAAAGCAAAAACUGACCCAGUAAUACUGAUCAACGAACCAAGUUACCCCAGGGAUAACAGCGCUAUCUUCUUCAAGAGUCCCUAUCGACAAGAAGGUUUACGACCUCGAUGUUGGAUCAGGACACCCAAAUGGUGCAGCCGCUAUUAAAGGUUCGUUUGUUCAACGAUUAACAGUC
RNAcentral lists this ribosomal RNA (478 nucleotides) under Sphenomorphus cf. decipiens 2 CWL-2011. RNAcentral describes it as "partial 16S ribosomal RNA". It matches the Rfam family "Bacterial large subunit ribosomal RNA", at positions 1923 to 2595 of the family's 2925-position model. The record is from RNAcentral. Lineage: Eukaryota; Metazoa; Chordata; Lepidosauria; Squamata; Scincidae.